AUUGAACGCUGGCGGCAUGCUUUACACAUGCAAGUCGAACGGCAGCGCGGGCUUCGGCCUUGCGGCGAGUGGCGAACGGGUGAGUAAUGCAUCGGAACGUGCCCAGUAGUGGGGGAUAGCCCGGCGAAAGCCGGAUUAAUACCGCAUACGACCUGAGGGUGAAAGCGGGGGACCGAACGGCCUCGCGCUAUUGGAGCGGCCGAUGUCGGAUUAGCUAGUUGGUGGGGUAAAGGCUUACCAAGGCGACGAUCCGUAGCUGGUCUGAGAGGACGACCAGCCACACUGGGACUGAGACACGGCCCAGACUCCUACGGGAGGCAGCAGUGGGGAAUUUUGGACAAUGGGGGCAACCCUGAUCCAGCCAUGCCGCGUGCGGGAAGAAGGCCUUCGGGUUGUAAACCGCUUUUGUUCGGGAAGAAAUCCUCUGGGCUAAUACCCCGGGGGGAUGACGGUACCGGAAGAAUAAGCACCGGCUAACUACGUG
Molecule: ribosomal RNA, 484 nt
Filed under: uncultured bacterium
Lineage: Bacteria
Description: partial 16S ribosomal RNA
Rfam family: Bacterial small subunit ribosomal RNA
Source: RNAcentral